RNAcentral lists this ribosomal RNA (230 nucleotides) under uncultured soil bacterium. RNAcentral describes it as "partial 16S ribosomal RNA". It matches the Rfam family "Bacterial small subunit ribosomal RNA", at positions 282 to 517 of the family's 1533-position model. The record is from RNAcentral.
AUUCGCCCGCCGCGCGCGGCGGGCGGGGCGGGGGCACGGGGGGCCUACGGGAGGCAGCAGUGGGGAAUAUUGGACAAUGGGGGAAACCCUGAUCCAGCAAUGCCGCGUGUGUGAAGAAGGCCUGCGGGUUGUAAAGCACUUUCGGAGGGGACAAAAAGCGUCGGGCUAACACCCAGGCGUCUUGAUUUAACCCUCAUAAGAAGCACCGGCUAACUCUGUGCCAGCAGCCG